Molecule: small nuclear RNA, 320 nt
Filed under: Heterocephalus glaber (naked mole-rat)
Lineage: Eukaryota; Metazoa; Chordata; Mammalia; Rodentia; Bathyergidae
Description: 7SK RNA
Rfam family: 7SK RNA
About the family: 7SK was discovered as an abundant small nuclear RNA in the mid-70s but a possible function has only recently been suggested. Two independent studies have found that 7SK RNA binds the CDK9/cyclin T complex (known as elongation factor P-TEFb).
Source: Rfam by way of RNAcentral
GGAUGUAAGGGUGAUAUGGCUGCGACAUCUGUCACUCUGUUGAUCACCAGGGUUGAUUUGGCUGAUUUGGCUGGCUAGCCGGGUGCUCUCUUCCUCCCUCACUGCUCCAUGUGCAUCCCUCCUGAAGCUGUGCUCAGUCAAACAGGACAACCACCACCCACAGAGGAGAACUGUUUCCUGGGUCAAGGGUAUAUGAGUAGCUGCGCUCCCUUGCUAGAAUCUUCAAACAAGCUCUCAAGGAUGGUACAUUAUUGGUCCUUAGGGUCUAUUAAUAUUUGGUUUGUCUUUGACACUAUGAUUGAUGCUAAUUUCAUUACUAU